AUCAACUUUUGAAAGUUGGCAAUACCUAGUCUAGCAAACAUAAGGAAGACUAACUCACCCAUUUGUUUAUUGAGCUCCUUAUCUUGAUUCCUAAUAGGCAAUGACUAGAAUUAAAGAAGGUGACUAAUACUUGAAAUGACAUGGGACUGUUAUUUUCAGAUAAUUUGGUCUUUCUGAAGCUGUAACAGUACCAAUAAAUUGUUUUGCUCCCUGGACAGGCUUGAGAAGGAGAAAGCAGAAAUUGAACGCAUGCGAAACCUGACUGAGGAAGAGAGGAGAGCUGAACUUCGGGCAAACGGCAAAGUCAUUACCAACAAAGCUGUUAAGGGCAAAUACAAGUUCUUACAGAAGUAUUAUCACCGGGGUGCCUUCUUCAUGGAUGAGGAUGAAGAAGUAUACAAGAGAGAUUUCAGCGCUCCUACCCUGGAGGAUCAUUUCAAUAAAACCAUUCUUCCUAAAGUCAUGCAGGUCAAGAACUUUGGACGCUCAGGUCGCACCAAAUACACUCACCUUGUGGAUCAAGAUACCACCUCCUUUGACUCAGCUUGGGGCCAAGAGAGUGCCCAGAACACAAAGUUCUUCAAACAAAAGGCAGCUGGGGUACGAGAUGUAUUUGAGCGGCCAUCUGCCAAGAAGCGGAAAACUACCUAGGGUCCAACUGCUUAUUCUUCCAACUGUGGAACACAAGGGGAAGUCUCAGCAUCUGGUCCUUCAUUUGGUUUUUUCAUUGUUUCCUUGGCCCCUGUAUCCAGAUAUUGGACUUACUGCUAUACUUGUGAUACUGGGUAGCCCAGACUUUGAAGGUGCUUUGUGAGGUUUGGACUCAUGCUGAGAAACCCA
RNAcentral lists this small RNA (840 nucleotides) under Pan troglodytes (chimpanzee). Its description in RNAcentral is "retained intron". The record is from RNAcentral. Lineage: Eukaryota; Metazoa; Chordata; Mammalia; Primates; Hominidae.